CGUGUAGGCGGUUUGGCAAGUCAGAGGUGAAAUGCCCCGGCUCAACCGGGGACCUGCCUUUGAAACUGCCGAACUUGAGGCCGUGAGGGGAGACUGGAAUUCCUAGUGUAGCGGUGAAAUGCAUAGAUAUUAGGAAGAACACCAGUGGCGAAGGCGAGUCUCUGGCACGGUUCUGACGCUGAGGCGCGAAAGCGUAGGGGAGCGAACG
RNAcentral lists this ribosomal RNA (208 nucleotides) under uncultured bacterium. RNAcentral describes it as "partial 16S ribosomal RNA". It matches the Rfam family "Bacterial small subunit ribosomal RNA", at positions 568 to 774 of the family's 1533-position model. The record is from RNAcentral.